UAUAAGUCGCCGGAAGUGUUAUUUUUUGUUAUUACGUUUGCAAUGUAUAAUGUUUCAGUGCUAUGCAAUUUGCUAUUAUAUCUAAACCAUGUUGAAACUAAGUUUACAGACAAAUGUAAUACUCUUCCGGGAGGAUUUUGGUCUGGCGUUAAUGUUUAGAUAAAUAAACCACACGUUGUGAACAAAUGUCUUUGUGGACGUCAUGGAUGUGAUACGUCAGAGUCCAAGGAUGUUCUUUCUUUAGUGAAUAGUUGUAUUGAACUUGAAUAUGACAAGCAGAGACUGGUAUUUUUCUGUGAGGACAUUCAUUCCUAAAGUAAACUUAUGGAACAACAGUACAUAAAGACAUACUCAAAAACUUUGAAUCUCAAAGAGUAAAGUAAGCUUCAUACCAGUUGAGGAGAGUGCGGAAGGUACUGCGUUUCGAAGGAAGAACAUCUAUCAGAUACACCUUCUGCCUGAGAACAAUGAUGAAUGGUCCUAUGGGGCGAGGAGCUAGCAGAGAAGGGUCUGACGGUCAAACAGUCCUUUGUGGAUCUUGGUUAUGGAAAUGGUCUAUCACCCUGGAAAGGGCAUCGAUGUGAGGAAACAGAAGAUCUGGAAUAUGUACGGCCCAUGAACCUAUCUAGAGGAAAUGGCAAUCACUCCCAGUGAUGGCUUCUUAUUCCUGGACACAGACUGGCUGAUUGGAAACUACUCGGAGGAGCUCUUGCCGUGGAUCCCCGUUAUAGCAGCCAGGCAAGUCAUCAGCAGACACAAUUUGGCUUAGCCGCAUCAAGUGGCAGCUGAUCUAUUGAAUUUGAAAUCAUGUUACUUUCAUGAGUUGGGUUGGUUUGGGGAGAGGGGGAUUGGAGGUGUGUUGAUGUGUGAAGGGACUUGUUUGAUGCGGUGGCCAUCUGAUGGCGAUGUUGAGCUUGGCUCUUGAAGUUAGUCUCUGAAAGCUCCCAACAGUACUUAACGAUGCCUCAUAGCUCCAUAGGCUUUAAAUUGUCCUCAUUUUUCUUACAUCCAACUUUGAGUAAGUUGUGCCUAAUUCAGUUGUUCCUACAGUAUGUUCUCACCUCUAUGAUGUCUGCUACCUCUGCUUGGCCAGGGUUCUCUAAGACUAAACCAGGGAAAUAAAGAAUAGUUUUGAUGUCAUUUCUGUCACUUUCCUCACCUUAGGUCAUCCUUCUCCGGCCGGUACAUUGUUCUGCCGUUUCUUUGACUUCUAUGGGAAGUACCAGCGGAGACAGUUUCAGAAGUCCCAGUAUAAGGAAUACAUUGACUUCAUCUCUGAGAUCAGCACAGCCUGUGGCUUCAACACAGAGGAGGACUGCCUGAGAAUCCCCUCCACAAAGCGGAUAUCCUAAUGGAGCGGCAGGUGUGUCUGGUAGACUUGGUGCUACCAGUCAAGGAGCUACCAGCUGUCAGACGAGUGGAGAGCCAAGUAUAUACAGGGUCGUCAGACCUGGUCCGGGGUCACAGUACAAGGGUCAAACGUCGAGGGGGAAGCUGAGACUGACAGGUCCCAUGGGAACAACUGGGGAGCUGGGUUCCAGCCCCGAGAGAGGAUUGAGACUGUGGAAUUGCGCCGCCCUCCCCCGGGAUUUUGUAGAUGCCCCAGCCCCAGUAUAGUCUUACGUGUGGCCAACACUCUGCUUGGUCGACCGACAAGGGCGGGGAUGUCCCUGAUGCCUGGAGCACUGGAGGCAGUCUGUCAGGGAGAGAGGUGUUGGAGUAGGAAACUCUACAGGUCUUAAAGAAGGAGUGUGGAGGUCUGUACACCUGCUCAAGAACAACCACCAGGUCUUCAGCGUAAAGGCGGUAUGUUCCAUAUCCGGAACUGGCGGGUACAGACCCAGAAUGCUGAAAGGUACCAGGGCUGAUGCUAAACUGAAGCCCCUACUCUCUGGUGUCCUGAAAAUCCGGGCCUGCUGGUUCCAUGCCCCUCACCCCAACGGAUGCCCCCUGCCGGCCGAGGAGUGUGACUUUGCCCGUUGAGCCGACGACCAUCAACCUUCCACCAGACUACUCAAGAAAAUGAAGAACUCAAAUUAAACGCACGAUUCAGUUUAGACCGUUGCUUUAUUUUUAUUUGACUUGUUUUUAUGAUAUGACAGCUUGUUACACAAAAGAUAUGACAGCUUGUUACACAAAAGAAAAGGGGCUAGGCUUGAGUGAAAGAGCGGGAAGACUGAGGAAC
Oncorhynchus mykiss (rainbow trout) is the source of this 2185-nucleotide non-coding RNA. The record is from RefSeq and is a predicted model, not a curated record. Lineage: Eukaryota; Metazoa; Chordata; Actinopteri; Salmoniformes; Salmonidae.